This 497-nucleotide ribosomal RNA is filed under the name uncultured bacterium. RNAcentral's name for it is "partial 16S ribosomal RNA". It matches the Rfam family "Bacterial small subunit ribosomal RNA", at positions 28 to 507 of the family's 1533-position model. The record is from RNAcentral.
GAUGAACGCUGGCGGCGUGCCUAAUACAUGCAAGUCGAGCGAACGGACGAGAAGCUUGCUUCUCUGAUGUUAGCGGCGGACGGGUGAGUAACACGUGGAUAACCUACCUAUAAGACUGGGAUAACUUCGGGAAACCGUAGCUAAUACCGGAUAAUAUUUUGAACCGCAUGGUUCAAAAGUGAAAGACGGUCUUGCUGUCACUUAUAGAUGGAUCCGCGCUGCAUUAGCUAGUUGGUAAGGUAACGGCUUACCAAGGCAACGAUGCAUAGCCGACCUGAGAGGGUGAUCGGCCACACUGGAACUGAGACACGGUCCAGACUCCUACGGGAGGCAGCAGUAGGGAAUCUUCCGCAAUGGGCGAAAGCCUGACGGAGCAACGCCGCGUGAGUGAAGAAGGUCUUCGGAUCGUAAAACUCUGUUAUUAGGGAAGAACAUAUGUGUAAGUAACUGUGCACAUCUUGACGGUACCUAAUCAGAAAGCCACGGCUAACUACGUG